This 206-nucleotide ribosomal RNA is filed under the name uncultured bacterium. RNAcentral's name for it is "partial 16S ribosomal RNA". It matches the Rfam family "Bacterial small subunit ribosomal RNA", at positions 568 to 774 of the family's 1533-position model. The record is from RNAcentral.
CUCGUAGGCGGUUCGUCGCGUCCGGUGUGAAAGUCCAUCGCUUAACGGUGGAUCCGCGCCGGGUACGGGCGGGCUUGAGUGCGGUAGGGGAGACUGGAAUUCCCGGUGUAACGGUGGAAUGUGUAGAUAUCGGGAAGAACACCAAUGGCGAAGGCAGGUCUCUGGGCCGUCACUGACGCUGAGGAGCGAAAGCGUGGGAGCGAACA